ACACUAUCCAAUAUGGUAACCACUAGCCACUUGUGACUACUGAGUGUCUGAAAGAUACCACCCACAUAAACAAAAACUUUUUGGGAGUCCUCCAGAAUUUUUAAGAGUUAUCUAAACUAUUGCCUUUAAUGACCAGGAACUCCAAUUUGAGAAGUUACCCUACGUUAAGCCAACAGCAGCCUGGCUCCUUCAUCCUGUGCAGUAUGGGACAGAGCUGGGUCCUUGUUGUCAUCAGCCAGACAAGCACACAUUAAAGCCCACCUUAGCCAUUGGCAUUACAGCUUUAAAAGCAGCUCCAUCCUACCAUGCUGUCACUCUACUCAAUCACGUGAUCUUAACGACCAGCUCUACAUAUCCUCUCUCCAUGCCCCCACCACCAUCCCCCACCAACAAAUCCGGUAAUCUAUCUCUGUCAAUAGUCCUGCAGUGAAUUCCGAAUAAGUUUUUCUCUUCCCUGGCCUGCCGUUUACGUAGUACCCUGGAUGAAUCUAUACUUACUCCAUAGUAAGUAGUACCUUGGAUGAAUCUAUACUUGCAUCCAAUGGAAAUGAGAGUGAUGGUGCAGAGUUAUCCGAAGUAACUCCAGCUAUGUUGUGGAUCUUCUAAUCAUGGGCUCAUCUAAGCCUUCCCAGAUAUCACUCUAGUUUUUACAAUCUUUGUUUAUGACAAUUAGGGCUGUAACAUUGGCUGUAGACAUUUGUUGCAUCAAGGAACUCAGCUUCCACUGAAGUUCUGAAGUUAAUCAGUUUCUGAUCUUGUUCUGCAACUCUCUGCAAGAAGAAAAAUCACCAGGAAAUAGUGCAUCCUGAAAGGAGUCAAAGUUUCCUUAUCCAGCUGGAGCAGUGUGAUCUCGGACCAGAGUCAAUUCCUUGCCCAACAGACUUCACAUUGAGCCAUGAGAAGCAGCCUACUUACCCUUACCUGGACACUUCUCCAAAACCUGUGAAAUGGCCUCUGUCACUGCCUCAAAGCCUCAUCCUUGAUUCUGCUAUCAGCUACAGGUCUGGGUUUGUGUCUCCGACAAAGAACCACCUCAAAGCCCCACAGAAAAGGACUGUACCGUAUACUUCAAACUAUUGACACCUCAAAGAACAGAGCUUGGGUUCAGGCUUCUGAUGCAUUCUGAGACACUCUCAGACCAUACCAGUGGGCUGGGUCAGGAUUUACAGAACUAUUUUCAUUUCAAGAGCAUACGGGCUCAUGAGAUUGCUAACUCAAGAUCCGGUGGAACAGAAAUACUUAUAUCGGACUGAAUAAACUGAUGAGGAAAAUCUUA
Long non-coding RNA from Homo sapiens (human), 1276 nucleotides. Ensembl annotates it as long intergenic non-protein coding RNA 2020. The record is from Ensembl. Lineage: Eukaryota; Metazoa; Chordata; Mammalia; Primates; Hominidae.